This 369-nucleotide ribosomal RNA is filed under the name uncultured bacterium. RNAcentral describes it as "bacterial SSU rRNA". It matches the Rfam family "Bacterial small subunit ribosomal RNA", at positions 29 to 424 of the family's 1533-position model. The record is from RNAcentral.
AGCGAACGCUGGCGGCAGGCUUAACACAUGCAAGUCGAGCGGGCGUAGCAAUACGUCAGCGGCAGACGGGUGAGUAACGCGUGGGAACAUACCUUUUGGUUCGGAACAACACAGGGAAACUUGUGCUAAUACCGGAUAAGCCCUUACGGGGAAAGAUUAUCGCCGAAGAUUGGCCCGCGUCUGAUUAGCUAGUUGGUGAGGUAACGGCUCACCAAGGCGACGAUCAGUAGCNGGUCUGAGAGGAUGAUCAGCCACAUUGGGACUGAGACACGGCCCAAACUCCUACGGGAGGCAGCAGGUGGGGAAUAUUGGACAAUGGGCGCAAGCCUGAUCCAGCCAUGCCGCGUGAGUGAUGAAGGCCCUAGGGUU